Molecule: ribosomal RNA, 1085 nt
Filed under: Mesobacillus foraminis
Lineage: Bacteria; Bacillati; Bacillota; Bacilli; Caryophanales; Bacillaceae
Description: bacterial SSU rRNA
Rfam family: Bacterial small subunit ribosomal RNA
Source: RNAcentral
UGAUCCUGGCUCAGGACGAACGUGGCGGCGUGCCUAAUACAUGCAAGUCGAGCGAAUCGGAGGGAGCUUGCUCCCAAAGAUUAGCGGCGGACGGGUGAGUAACACGUGGGCAACCUGCCUGUAAGACUGGAUAACUUCGGGAAACCGGAGCUAAUACCGGAUAAUCUUUUCCUCACAUGAGGGAAAGCUGAAAGUCGGUUUCGGCUGUCACUUAGAGAUGGGCCCGCGGCGCAUUAGCUAGUUGGUGAGGUAACGGCUCACCAAGGCGACGAUGCGUAGCCGACCUGAGAGGGUGAUCGGCCACACUGGGACUGAGACACGGCCCAGACUCCUACGGGAGGCAGCAGUAGGGAUCUUCCGCAAUGGACGAAAGUCUGACGGAGCAACGCCGCGUGAGCGAAGAAGGCCUUCGGGUCGUAAAGCUUUGUUGUCAGGGAAGAACAAGUGCGGAGUAACUGCCGGCACCUUGACGGUACCUGACCAGAAAGCCACGGCUAACUACGUGCCAGCAGCCGCGGUAAUACGUAGGUGGCAAGCGUUGUCCGGAAUUAUUGGGCGUAAAGCGCGCGCAGGCGGUCCUUUAAGUCUGAUGUGAAAGCCCACGGCUCAACCGUGGAGGGUCAUUGGAAACUGGGGGACUUGAGUGCAGAGAGGAGAGUGGAAUUCCACGUGUAGCGGUGAAAUGCGUAGAGAUGUGGAGGAAGACCGUGGCGAAGGCGACUCUCUGGUCUGUAACUGACGCUGAGGCGCGAAAGCGUGGGGAGCGAACAGGAUUAGAUACCCUGGUAGUCCACGCCGUAAACGAUGAGUGCUAAGUGUUAGAGGGUUUCCGCCCUUAGUGCUGCAGCAAACGCAUUAAGCACUCCGCCUGGGGAGUACGGCCGCAAGGCGAACUCAAAGGAAUUGACGGGGGCCCGCACAAGCGGUGGAGCAUGUGGUUUAAUUCGAAGCAACGCGAAGAACCUUACCAGGUCUUGACAUCCUCUGACAACCCUAGAGAUAGGGCGUUCCCCUUCGGGGGACAGAGUGACAGGUGGUGCAUGGUUGUCGUCAGCUCGUGUCGUGGAUGUUGGGUUAAGUCCCGC